UACGGAAGGCAGCAGUGGGGAAUAUUGCACAAUGGGCGCAAGCCUGAUGCAGCCAUGCCGCGUGUAUGAAGGAGGCCUUCGGGUUGUAAAGUACUUUCAGUCGUGAGGAAGGUGUUAAGGUUAAUAACCUCAGCAAUUGACGUUAGCGACAGAAGAAGCACCGGCUAACUCCGUGCCAGCAGCCGCGGUAAUACGGAGGGUGCGAGCGUUAAUCGGAAUUACUGGGCGUAAAGGGCACGCAGGCGGUUAAUUAAGUUGGAUGUGAAAUCCCCGGGCUUAACCUGGGAAUGGCAUUCAAGACUGGUUAGCUAGAGUCUUGUAGAGGGGGUAGAAUUCCAUGUGUAGCGGUGAAAUGCGUAGAGAUGUGGAGGAAUACCGGUGGCGAAGGCGGCCCCUGGGACAAAGACUGACGCUCAUGUGCGAAAGCGUGGGGAGCGAAACAGGAUUAGAU
RNAcentral lists this ribosomal RNA (451 nucleotides) under uncultured bacterium. Its description in RNAcentral is "bacterial SSU rRNA". It matches the Rfam family "Bacterial small subunit ribosomal RNA", at positions 340 to 783 of the family's 1533-position model. The record is from RNAcentral.